GGGGCGGUAGCUCAGAGGGAGAGCGUCCGUUUCGCAAGCGGAAGGUCGCCGGUUCAAGUCCGGUCCGCUCCA
Molecule: transfer RNA, 72 nt
Filed under: bacterium
Lineage: Bacteria
Also listed under: 1 other name
Description: tRNA-Ala
Rfam family: tRNA
About the family: Transfer RNA (tRNA) molecules are approximately 80 nucleotides in length.
Source: RNAcentral